UACGUAGGGGGCGAGCGUUGUCCGAAUUUACUGGGCGUAAAGAGCGCGUAGGCGGGUUCUUAAGUGAGAGGUGAAAGGUUCAGGGCUCAACCCGAACAGUGCCUUUCAUACUGGGAGCCUUGAGUGUGGGAGAGGAGAGUGGAAUUCCCGGUGUAGCGGUGAAAUGCGCAGAUAUCGGGAAGAACACCUAUGGCGAAGGCAGCUCUCUGGGACGGUACUGACGCUGAGGCGCGAAAGCUCGGGGAGCGAACGGG
RNAcentral lists this ribosomal RNA (254 nucleotides) under uncultured bacterium. Its description in RNAcentral is "partial 16S ribosomal RNA". It matches the Rfam family "Bacterial small subunit ribosomal RNA", at positions 524 to 776 of the family's 1533-position model. The record is from RNAcentral.